AAGUCGUAACAAGGUAACCGUAGGUGAACCUGCAGUUGGAUCAUUAGAGGAAUUUGGGUUUGACAUGGAAAUCAUAUAUAGAUUUUCUGUGUCAAGCAGCAUAGUGGAACCAGUGUCCACCACCUUGCAUUAUGCAAGAAAAUGCAAGUCACCUUGAUGUGCACUGUGAAUGUCUUUGGCAGGGGAUGAAGGCCAGCCUUUUGUUUCAAAGGCGUGGUACUUUCUCCGUCAGCCUCAGCUACCAGCUGAGGCCGUGGACAACCUGCCAACCACUAGCAGAUGAAACAUCUUUAACUGUUUUUGAAUUCUGAAUUCUUUCUUUUUUUUCAUGCCGUUAAUGGCAUGGAAAUGUAAAUUGAAACAACUUUUGGCAAUGGAUCUCUUGGCUCUC
Molecule: unclassified non-coding RNA, 391 nt
Filed under: fungal sp.
Lineage: Eukaryota; Fungi
Description: partial internal transcribed spacer region
Rfam family: Eukaryotic small subunit ribosomal RNA (bases 1-46)
Source: RNAcentral